RNAcentral lists this ribosomal RNA (460 nucleotides) under uncultured bacterium. RNAcentral describes it as "partial 16S ribosomal RNA". It matches the Rfam family "Bacterial small subunit ribosomal RNA", at positions 338 to 795 of the family's 1533-position model. The record is from RNAcentral.
CCUACGGGCGGCAGCAGUGAGGAAUAUUGGUCAAUGGACGAGAGUCUGAACCAGCCAAGUAGCGUGAAGGAUGACUGCCCUAUGGGUUGUAAACUUCUUUUAUAUGGGAAUAAAACGUUCCACGUGUGGGAUUUUGUAUGUACCUUAUGCAUAAGAAUCGGCUAACUCCGUGCCAGCAGCCGCGGUAAUACGGAGGAUCCGAGCGUUAUGCGGAUUUAUUGGGUUUAACGGGAGCGGAGGUGGAUUGUUAAGUCAGGUGUGAAAGUUUGCGGCUCAACCGUAAAAUUGAAGUUGAAACUGGCAGUCUUGAGUCCAGUAGAGGUGGGCGGAAUUCGUGGUGUAGCGGUGAAAUGCUUAGAUAUCACGAAGAACUCCGAUUGCGAAGGCAGUUCACUGGACUGCAACUGACACUGAGGCUCGAAAGUGUGGGGAUCAAACAGGAUUAGAUACCCGAGUAGUC